This 473-nucleotide ribosomal RNA is filed under the name uncultured bacterium. RNAcentral describes it as "partial 16S ribosomal RNA". It matches the Rfam family "Bacterial small subunit ribosomal RNA", at positions 43 to 523 of the family's 1533-position model. The record is from RNAcentral.
CGUGCAUGAAACAUGUAAGUCGAGCGCGGUGCAAAAUGGAGUAAUCCGCUUUGCAUCUAGCGGCGAACGGGUGAGUAACACGUGAGCAACCUACCUUCGAGUUCGGGAUAGCCCUGAGAAAUCAGGAUUAAUACCGGAUGUGGUCACGUCAAGACAUCUUGAUGUGAGUAAAGACGCAAGUCGCUCGUUGACGGGCUCGCGGCUUAUUAGCUUGUUGGUGGGGUAACGGCCUACCAAGGCGCUGAUGAGUAGCUGGUCUGAGAGGACGAUCGGCCACACUGGGACUGUGACACGGCCCAGACUCCUACGGGAGGCAGCAGUUAGGAAUUUUCCGCAAUGGGCGCAAGCCUGACGGAGCAACGCCGCGUGAGUGAUGAAGGCCUUCGGGUUGUAAAGCUCUGUCGGAUGGAACGAAGAUCUGACGGUACCAUCCAAGAAAGCCCCGGCUAACUACGUGCCAGCCGCCGCGGUAA